RNAcentral lists this unclassified non-coding RNA (713 nucleotides) under Hevea brasiliensis (rubber tree). Lineage: Eukaryota; Viridiplantae; Streptophyta; Magnoliopsida; Malpighiales; Euphorbiaceae. The record is from RNAcentral.
UGAUGAUGUGAUUCAACAGGAAGUGAGUUUUGAUAUUAUCUUUUCCAUUUACCAUCAAAUAUGUUCACUUUUUUAUGACUGGCAAUAAUGGUUGAUUCAGGAGACAGCCAGUCAGCUAUGAUUAUUUAGAAAAUUAUACAUCAACUAUUUAUUUUUUCACAUGCAUAGCAUGUGUAUCUUGUGUGAUUUAUUAACCCACAAAUAUAUUUUUCUUUAAAAAUUGUAUACUAAGACAAUAAAUCAAUGUGUAAACUAUAAUUUUUUUUUUUAAAUACUGGUUGUAAAUGUGAAAUAUAUAGUAUGAAUACAGAUAGUAAAAGUAAUUUAAAAGAAUAAGAAAAAAUAUAUUAUUUUAGUAAUUCUAACCUCAUCUUCAUCCAAAAUUAUAUUAGUAAUUCUAGCAUAGUACAUAAAUUUGUGCAAAGUUAUUGAUUUCUCAUUGAUGGUACAAAUAAGAUCAUACAUAGGAUUAGAAUCAUUAUAGCUAUAGGUUGUCACAUUGUAAUUUUUUUUUCUAAGUAUUACGCUUAAACCAAGUAUUUGUUGUCCUUCAAAUGUUUCAGCACCCGUUUGUAGAUUUUACUGAACAAUUUGGUUCAAGAAAUAAAAUGUAGGAUGCUUUAUAAUUUUGGUUAGAUUUAAGAAUAAGAAGAAAUUUAAAAGAAAUAAAUUUCCAGAAUUUUCUCUAUGCUUUGAUACCAUGUUAAGAUUUA